CGCAGGGUGGUGAAAGUGGUGUCACGGGCGGCUCAUGCCCGCCAGAUCCGGGUUCGAGUCCCGGCCCUGCAACCA
This 75-nucleotide transfer RNA is filed under the name Chthoniobacterales bacterium. Its description in RNAcentral is "tRNA-Met". It matches the Rfam family "tRNA". From Rfam's summary of the family: Transfer RNA (tRNA) molecules are approximately 80 nucleotides in length. Their secondary structure includes four short double-helical elements and three loops (D, anti-codon, and T loops). The record is from RNAcentral. Lineage: Bacteria; Pseudomonadati; Verrucomicrobiota; Spartobacteria; Chthoniobacterales.